Molecule: ribosomal RNA, 456 nt
Filed under: uncultured Streptococcus sp.
Lineage: Bacteria; Bacillati; Bacillota; Bacilli; Lactobacillales; Streptococcaceae
Description: bacterial SSU rRNA
Rfam family: Bacterial small subunit ribosomal RNA
Source: RNAcentral
GCACAAGCGUGGAGCAUGUGGUUUAAUUCGAAGCAACGCGAAGAACCUUACCAGGUCUUGACAUCCCGAUGCUAUUUCUAGAGAUAGAAAGUUACUUCGGUACAUCGGUGACAGGUGGUGCAUGGUUGUCGUCAGCUCGUGUCGUGAGAUGUUGGGUUAAGUCCCGCAACGAGCGCAACCCCUAUUGUUAGUUGCCAUCAUUCAGUUGGGCACUCUAGCGAGACUGCCGGUAAUAAACCGGAGGAAGGUGGGAUGACGUCAAAUCAUCAUGCCCCUUAUGACCUGGGCUACACACGUGCUACAAUGGUUGGUACAACGAGUUGCGAGUCGGUGACGGCGAGCUAAUCUCUUAAAGCCAAUCUCAGUUCGGAUUGCAGGCUGCAACUCGCCUACAUGAAGUCGGAAUCGCUAGUAAUCGCGGAUCAGCACGCCGCGGUGAAUACGUUCCCGGGCCUU